AUUGAAUGGACUAAAGCGGGGCUUCCAGAAAGGUAGGUAAAAUACAGUUUUUACUCUAUUCUGAGUGGGGCCGGGAAAACUAAACAUGUAGUUUAAGACUAUAGUUUUAGGAAUACAUAUUUGUGUCUUGAAACCACUAAUACAGACAGGGCCACAAUGGGAUUCGGUAAGUGUAAACCUUUGAUUUUGAUUUGUUUAAAAAUAAUAUUAAUCAAUUAUGACUUAAUAUUAGAUAUGGCUAAGUGGGAGUCUACCUGUCUCUAAUCCACCCAUAACCCAUACAGAAGACAUACUUAUGUCUGCUUGGAGAAAAGGACUUAUACCUAACAAAUUGAAAAGGAACAAGCAAUCAUGAAAAAGCCAUUUACAGUCACAAAGCUACGGAGCUAUAAAGGUAGAAACGUGGGUGGGUUUUGAGAAUAGGUCACAGGACUGAUAUUGCCAUGAUAGCUCAUGCACACUGUCUUGUUUAUUCAGUAAAGUGAGAAUUAUCAGGAAUUCAAAUUGAAUUUCUAAAUUCUAUUCCAAGGUAGCCAAACUGAAAACGCAGCUGACUUGGAGAUUUUUUUCAAUUUAGCUAUUUUGGUCUUAAAUUUUAAAUUCAUAUUAAUAACUGCUAAUCAUCGAAACACGGGUUGGGGAACGACACCUUGUGUUGAUUUCCUUAGCAAUUAAAUGAUUCAUUCACUACAAUCCAUUGCUUAGUGAAUAUACCCACGAGCUGUACCAUUAUACUCUAUCAAUAUAUGAAAAUAGACCAAAUUAAACAAUAAAACAUAUUUGGACAUAUGCAUUGCUUCUCCAUGUUUAAUAAACAUCAAUUCCUCUCACUAAGUGACUCUAAGCAACCAUGGAUAUUCCUAACCCUAUAUUUAGUUACAAAUGUGUUAUAAACAAUAGAGCGAGUGAAACAGCAUCUUUAAUGGCUCGACCAACAGAAAUAAUGCCCUUUUAAGUCACUGCAACUGUAAAUGCAUAAGUAAAACUAACAUAAUGCCACAAUCUCGUAUCUGUUUGUUCAGGCACAACUGAUGUUCCUUUCUGUGUGUGUUCCAAGCAUUGUUUGCAGAAUGAAGGCUUUUAGCACCUGAUUACCCACAAUGCAGUGUGGCUGUAAGAGCAUGUUGUAACUUUGUGCUUUUUUUUUUUUUACAAUGAUUUUGAUGUUGAAAUAGUAUAAGGUAAAUAGGAUCUGCACAUCAGUAUCAGGCAUUUCAUCAAGUGUAAAUUAAUAUUAUAUUUGUUUUUAAUCUAAAGUGGGAUUUAUUCAAGAGAUUUUCAUAAGAAGAUGCUCAGAUUAUUACAUUUACAAUGCAAGAGUGAGAUUUGUUGUUGACUUUAUGAGAUUAUAAUGUAUCAGUUUUCAAGAAUUACCUAUUGUUUUCUGUUUGCUCUGUUCUUUAAGUUUAUUGCAGCGUUUUCUUUUUUUAUCUUAUGACAAAAUAUUGUAUAUGAGUAUUGAACAAUGGCUAAGGAGGCUCAACACAAUAUAAAGCAGAGGUUUUUUUUUUUGGUUUUUUUUAAAGGCAGAUGUCCAGAUAUUGUGGAACUACAACUUUGAUCAUGCUUUGCAAAAACAGCAAAACACUGCCUGCAUCAGUGGUGUAUCCUGGUUUUGUGCUGCCCUAGGCAAAAAAAUUCUCAAAACCCCCGCGCUACCCCCACCCACGCAACCGCCACCCAACCCUUCCCCCCUGCUCCCCCUUCUAAAUACACACACACACACAUUCACUGACAGAUACGCAUUCACUAGCUAACUCACUCACUAACAGACACACACACACACACACUCACUGGCAAACACACACUCACUAACAGGCAAACACUAACAGGCAAACACACACACACUAACAGGCAAACACACACACUAACAGGCAAACACACACACUAACAGGCAAACACACACACACUAACAGACACACACACUCACUAACUGACACACACACACACUCACUAACAGACACACACACACACUCACUGGCAAACACACACACUAACAGGCAAACACACCACACACACACACACACACACAUCCACACACACACACACAUCCACACACACACACUAACAUCCACACACACACACACACACACAUACACACACAUCCACACACACACACUAACAUCCACACACACUAACAUGUGUUUUUUUAUGUUUUUAUUUAACCCCCCCAGCCUCCUUACUUUUGCUGGGGGGGUUCUUCCUCUCCCUGGGGUCCUGGGGUCCUGGGGUCCAGUGGCUGCAGGGCGGGCGGGCGGCCGGCCGGCCGGCGAGGGAGCUCUUCCCCUGAGCGCUCUGCUCAGCUCCCUCGCGCGCCGCCAUCAGAGUGAGGCUGGGAGCCGGAAUAUGACGUCAUCAACCCGGCUCCCAGCCUCACUCUGCUGGCGGCGCGCGAGGGAGCUGAGCAGAGCGCUCAGGGGAAGAGUUCCCUCGCCACCCGCCCAGCGCUGCCCGCUCAGCAUGUCUGUUAGCCGCGAGGCUAACAAGGCAUUUGCCCUGGGAAUUUGGGGGCGGCUUUUUUGCCGCCCCCUGAAAAAUGCCGCCCAAGGCAAAUGCCUUGUUUGCCUCGCGGCUAAUACGCCCCUGGCCUGCAUUUAAGACUGACUUUAGGAAAACAUUACACGCAUCAUAAAAUAAUACACAUUGAGGCUAUAGUACACGUAAUCUUUUAUUUUAAUAAAUGUUUUCAUAGUAUUACAAUAGUAUUUCCUUAACUAGGACUCUUUUUUUUUUUUUUGCUGGAUAAUGUCUUUCCUUUAUGCAAAUGCAGAAAAACAUGGUCAUGACUUCGCCUUGAUGUCAUCAAAAAACUCCUUGUGGUUCUAUGGAACAUUUCUCCCAUGAAUAGAACGUUAGUUUACUCUUCAAUUUUUAGAUCGCUCAGUUAAAAAGGAUUCCUUGGCGAAACAAAGCCUAACAUUAUCUGUGUAAAAAUAGAAUGCCAGCCUUUCAUUUCUUCACAAUGUACAAGCUAUAUAUAGCUUUAUAGUGCCCAAAAAAGAACAAACUACGACAAGACUAAAAAGCAAAAAGAAACAGGGCAUGUCAUUUCUGGAAAGCUAUUAAAUAAUGAAUGCCACAUGUGUUUAAAGAUGUAACGAGGAGAAUAAAGCUAAACCUAUCGCGUGAUUUAAGAAAAUAAAUAUAGUAAAUACGGAGGAGGACAACCACGAGGUCAAAUACUGCUUUCUCCUCCAUUCCUUUUCCCCCCAUGUUGUUACCUGUUUAUGUUUUUUUUUAUUACUCUUUCUCAUUUUAUGUUUUCAGGGGAUUUAUAGAACUAUCCAUAGCCACUUACAAUUCUCAAAUAUACCAGACAGAUGUAGUAUGAUGCGGCCUCGAGGGGUUCUUCAUAGAUCUCAAUGCUGUACUCUUGUGCAUUCGUGAGAGUACAGCCACGACGUUGGCUCCUGGUGCUGAAGCAUCAAGAGCUGAAGAGGACUGACCCGAAGAAAAUGGCAGUCCUCAUGAGGGACAGGUUCAGGUAAGCAACACUCACCUUUUCCUGCCACUCUGGCCACCGGACCACCAGUAGAAUAAAUACUGCACCAGUCAACGAAAUGACAAUUCGGAAUCAAUCUAAAAAAUACAAAUAACAUAACAUAGUGCAAAAUGUAUAUAUAUAAUGACAGACCCCUUAUGUAAAGUAAAACUCACAGGAUUUAGAGCUGUCCCAGGCUCUAUAUAAUAUGCAGGAGGAUGCCUAAGAAGGCUAAAGGAUACAAAGUGCAGAAUCCAAAAUUUAUUAAACAAAUAAACAAUUAAAACAGGGACAAUAAGCAGUGUAUAAACACCGGACCACCAGCAAUGAUGUCACUGUCGGGGGUCUUUGCAAAAUAUGCAAAGUCCCGAGAAGGUGACAGUGCCCCUUUAAUGAUGAAAUAAAUAACUAGAUUAGCAAAUUAUUAUAAAUAAUAGAUAAUUAAGUAAACAACUAGAAAAGUAAAGCAGGGUAAUGGAUAUUAUUAAUGGCCCCCUCCAUCUCUUUAAUCAUGUUCAGUAUGACACCAGUGGAAGAUAGUUUAUUAUUAUUAUUAUUAAUUUAGUUGACAUGCACAAAGCAAAUGAACUUAAAUAUACAAAACUAUCUAAAAAAUGUUCAACUUUCUUUUUAGCUGGAAAUGAGGAAACAACCUUGCUUAGUCAUGUAACGUUGAAAUUCUUACACUUUAUAUGGUAUGUAGAUAGUCACUUCCUGUGCUAAUGUUUUAGCAGGUACGAUUGCUCUCAUCUGAAUUAGCACAUUGGGCUAAUGUCACAAUUUGUCCUAAUUAAGUUCCUUCGCUGCUACCAGAAAUUCAGGAAAUUUUGAGGCAUUCUUUUGCAAUUUUGAGGCACAUCUUAAAUUCCCCAUUUAGGCCUUGAUUUAACAAGAUUUCCAUAUGUUUCAAUGCCGUUAGAAAAGUUUCCAUGUGAUUUAUCUACAUAAGUCACUAUUAAAAUCUAUAGGAAGUCUUUUCACUCUGAUAUCUCUUUAUUUACAUUUAGUAAAUUCAAAUAGCUUAGUAGAUCCCAAAAGAGGCUGGAGAUAGUGCUACCUUAUUCCAGAAAUUACCAGUUAGGAAUGUCCUACUUACAUAACCCCUACUGUGUCUUCCUCCUUGGACAAAUAGUCAUUGUAGGUUGGUCUCUACAUGUAAAUGUGAUUUCGGUAAUUGUAUUAAUUCCUGCUCCUUCUAGUAGAAACUUCAUGUUUGCACAAUAUCUUCAAAACAGAAAUAAGACUUGUUUAACCCUCAGGCAGGGGGUCUAUUCACCUGCUAAGGACAUCCAGGAAAGUCUUUGAAACCAAAAAAUGUGUAUGUAAUUUUUUAAAAGGAACUCAUGGAUAGACCUUAUCUCACUUGUUUUACCUAAUCAAGUGGGUCUCUUAAUUCAUCACUCAGCCCUCUCUUACCUCAUGCAAACAGACUUUUAAAAGAGCUAUUUUACAUUAUAUAAACAUAUUAUUUGCUUACACUUUAAAUAUGUGUUAAGGUAACAAAAAAUCAAUACAGUGUUUUCUUUUGAUGGCAGGUAGACUGACACAAUAGUCAAAUUUAGAUGAAAUAUAUGUUUUUAUUGUAUUGCUCUAAUAUGACAUAUGUUAUUAUCAUUAUUAUCAUUUAUAUAGCGCCAACAUAUUAUGCAGCGCUUUGCUUUUAUAGAAAGAGGAUAUUUAGAGGUGAAUAAUGUAUAGCCUAUAUCGAGCAAGAAACCAGCAUGUGAGACUCUAUCUGCUGAUGUACAACAGUUAGUGAAAGUAUCUAAUAUGCACGUAUUUCCUCAAUUCUGAGUUGGACUAUACAAUCAAUCUAGUUUGAAAACGUCAGAAAUUCAGAAAGUCAGAUUGGUAGAGUUUAUUUCACUCGGUCCCUAAAACAAAUGCACCAUCAAGGCCACUGAAAACUUAACUACAAAGAACAGAAACCUGCACACUAUACUUAGAUGGCUAAAUGCUUUGGCCAUUGGUGUUAGACCGAACUCUCUAAGAGUUUAAGAUAUCUAAAUAAUGCUUAAAAUAGGACAACCGGGGAGGAAAUCACAUAAAACACCAGAAAAUGUACUUGCUAAACUAAAAAUGACUCUCAAUCCUAGAUCAGGUGCCUUAUUGGAACUGCAUUAAAGGAACACUAUAGUCACCUAAAUUACUUUAGCUAAAUAAAGCAGUUUUAGUGUAUAGAUCAUUCCCCUGCAAUUUCACUGCUCAAUUCACUGUCAUUUAGGAGUUAAAUCACUUUGUUUCUGUUUAUGCAGCCCUAGCCACACCUCCCCUGGCUAUGAUUGACAGAGCCUGCAUGGAAAAAAAACUGGUUUCACUUUCAAACAGAUGUAAUUUACCUUAAAUAAUUGUAUCUCAAUCUCCAAAUUGAACUUUAAUCACAUACAGGAGGCUCUUGCAGGGUCUAGCAAGCUAUUAACAUAGCAGGGGAUAAGAAAAUCUUAAUUAAAUAGGUCUCUCUUUACAGGAAGUGUUUAUGGAAGGCUGUGCAAGUCACAUGCAGGGAGGUGUGACUAGAGUUCAUAAAAGAGAUUUAACUCCUAAAUGGCAGAGGAUUGAGCAGUGAGGCUGCAGGGGCAUGUUAUAUACACCAAAACUGCUUCAUUAAGCUAAAGUUGUUCAGGUGACUAUAGUGUCCCUUUAAGUAUAGAGCAAAAGAGGGAACUAGUCUGCCAUAUUAGUAGAUCAGGUGUGACACAAAACAUUUGCACACAUAUAUACGCACACACAAGCACAUAUAUUUAUAUAAAUAUAGUACUCCUUUAUUACCAAAACUGUAUUGAACAUGAUAUGGAAAGCAAUAAAACUAAAACAACAGGAACACUAGAUUUUCAAGAACAAGCCAUAGAUUGUAAUUUGUAAACUUGCGCAUACUGAAAAAAAUGUGUUUCAGCAAAACCACUUUGUCCAAAAAUGAAAAAAUUGUGGGGAUGGGCAAAUAUCAGCCGUAUGGUUUUAUGGUAGUUUUUCCCCUUGGAUAACACAUUAGACAAACCAAAAGGGUAUAAUAUUUCUGUGUAUAUAUAUAUAUUGCAGUACAAUAAUAGUUGUGUUUGCUUAUAAUCACAGGUCAAGUGAGAAAAAGUAAGCAAUAUUAUGGCUAAUAUUCUUAUAGCUAGGGGACAGGCACUAAAUGUUAAUUAAUUUACAGAUCAAAUGAGCAGUGACAAAGAGGAGAAAUAGUAGAGAAGUAAAAAAUAAAAUAUGUUCUUAUAUUUCUAUAUUAUAUAUUUACUUUCAUUUCUGCAUAUAAAUAUAGAUUUUUCUUUUUACUGCACCUCUUUUUUCCCCUCUAUUUGUCACUUCUCACUUGACCUGUAAAUGAAAAUAACAUUUAGUAGCUGUCCCCUAGCCAUCAAUUAUCCUUUUUUUUCUAUCAAUUGGCUUGUUUUUUAGCACUAUGAGCAUAAUUAUGAAUCUCAAAUAAUAAUUGUCAUGCUCAUCCAUUGCUUUACUCGUAUGGUUGUGAUUUGGCUACAUUUCUGCUUGGAAUUCAGGAAUUUAUACAAUCACCCAUUACACCCAAGUUCAAAUGAAUUGCAGUUUGUAACAAAUCUCUAAAUCGAGUGUUUCUUAUUAUUAAUCUGUUAUGUCAACUGUUGUUACACUUUCCAAAGCCGAGCUAUAACCUUUCGCUCAUUUGGGAGAUCACAUACACAUUUUUAAUAGACUUGUGUUACUACAUAGCUCCAUGAUCCAGACAAAAAAAAACCCAAUAAAAUACACCACAACAAGUUAGAAAAUAGAUUUCUUUAUUUGCAUUUACUACUGGGAAAAUGGUCAACUAAAUGAUUGGUUACAUAUUAUGAGUUAGAGCUGUUGGGACAUGUUUCAUGCUAAAAAUAUUUAGGGCACACCCUUUGUACAUUAUGUAACGUAUACACAGUACUGUGUGGGAGAAUGCAUGAUGCACUGCUGGCUCACCAACAUCCACAUCACAACUGCUUUGCAUUCUCUUCAAAGACUUGUGUUAUCAAAAUAUAUAACACAUAAUUCAUAGGUUUGCUAGCAUUCCAUUAACUUGGUGUUUGCAUGACCACAAUAGCUUGUGCCAUCAAAGCACACGUUAAUGGCCCUUUAAUGUGAGAUCUCCUGACCGCAUAGCUCUGCACAGCAUCCACAUUAGCUGAGCUAAGACAACCAAUAGGCAGCCAUGUCUCUGUGUCUUUUUAACAAAAGUGUGAGGGUGCAUACUAGGCUGCCAUAAGCACAGAGCAAUGCAUAACCAUGAGAAUACUCAUUAAUGAGAGAGCAAUGUGUGUCCUGCCUUGGUGCUGCUGUAACAGUUCUUAGCUUGUAGCUGCCCAGUGAAGUGGCCAUACAUGUAGUUUAUAUGUCUCUGCCACUGGCCAAAUGGAUAGAUGUAUAGGCUAAAAAUAUAAAAAAAUAACAAAUGCAAUAUCAUUAUAUUACUAUAUAAAGGUAAAACAAUUUACUUACACAAUGGCAACAUACAAUAUUUAUCUCCAGGUUGCCUUUAGUUUAUUCCAAAAUGGAGUCCAUCUGAAAAAAUAAUUAGGCCUUAAAUACUCCCCCACUUCAGUUCUGGGAUUAAGCCUCAAACAAUCAAUGAAUAUGUCAACUUACAAAAAAAAUACUAUGUUGGAUGCUAUCUGAGCUGUCACUGACACAGUUACUAGAGGGGUUAAGAGUUUUCCCUUUUUUACUGUAUUUGUUUAUUUUUUAUUUAUUUUUCUUCUAUCUUGCCUAUAAAAUGCAGUCACUGAAAUCUCCAAAUCUGCUCUUGCAUUGUUUGGAUUUUGAGGCAGUUCAAUUGACUGAUUAAUGUCCAAAUACUUUCUAAUACUUUUGCAUAUUUUUGGUUGUAUUUUUUCCAAAUUGGUACAACAAAAAUCAAUUUGUUCCAUAGCUACAACAAAUAAUAAUUUUGUAUAAUUUGUUCAGAGUUAAAGGUGCACUAUGCUGCCAGGAAAACAAACUUGUUUUCCUGGCACUAUGUAGUCCUUAGGUCCUCCCCCCCCCCCAACCCUCAACUGCAGGGAUAAGACCUGGGUGACCUGGCACCCAGACCACUUCAUUGAGCGGAAGUGGUCUGGGUGCCUAUAGUGGUCCUUUAAAUAUAAUUAUUUUAUAAUUUGUAAAAAAAAAAAAUAUUUAUCAGUAUUGAAUGAACAGCAUGCUAAUGUGGACCAUUUAACAUUUCAAUGAUUUCAUGUAAUUGCUUCACAAUCUAUUUAGAAUAUAAAUGAACAAGGCCAUGUGUAUUUUAAAAAUCUUUUUUCUUUAACAACUCAAAGAAAACUAUUAUUUGGUCCUUUCCUUCAUAUAGUCUUAAUUGUUUGCCAUUUAAAAGCUUUUAUCUGUCACAUUGAAAUAUUCCAAGCAGUGUUUACACAUAACACCCUGGUAGUAUUAACAGGUGAGGUCCAGUCUUUAGUGCUGUAAACAAGUCUUCUGAUAACAAGGGUAAAUCUAGGGAUCACUUUUGAUUAAUGAGCAAAAGAAUUGAGCUAAUAGUGUUAGUAUAUUGUCUCUUCUCAGACCUUUCCUUUUCUUUCUUGAUGACCAAAGGUCAUGCCAAAUCAGAGAAAGCUACAUUUUUGGUAGAAUGCAGUUUAGCUAUAACCCUCAUUCUCCCUCAUUCUCCCCAAGAAAGCAUUUGGUUUCUCAUGGGUUGGUUAAGAAUUACGAGUAAUCUUAGAUCACCUCUAAGUGCUGCAAUGCGAGGAUUGUCCCUCACCAGCUGCAAUCGCCACUCAGUUUUGACUAGCAGAUAUCUGAAGUCCCACUGGGAGUCCUGAUACGGCAGAGCCUGUUUGGUUCUGGCAGCCAAGAGUGCCGUGCAAAGCCACCUCGAGUACCAUGGAUGGCACACGUGCCCUAGGUUGCUGACCCCUGGAAUAGUUAGGCAUGGUUCUACACUUGAAGCAAUCGCCAUUGAAUUCAAUGGCAUCAGCCGGAACAUUCCUCUGAAUUCCAUAUGGUCUGCUCCACCUCUAUAACUCUGCCCAACUUUCUAUUAGCAGACCUUAUGUUAACCCACCUCGCACACCCUUCCCAUGGUUCAAGGCUUCCUGGAGCCUUAGGGAUGGAUCUCUGUUUACUUUAAAAUGUUUCCAUAGCCAAUCAGAAUUCUCUAAUCACUUUAUCUAAUUCACUAACCUCUAUUUCACCUGUAGGUUUACUGAAAUUUAAAUUGGUAUACAUUUUGCAAUAUUUCCUCAAUAGUUUUCUUUUAUAUGUUUAUAAUAUAUUGAUUGCAAGGUUGAUUGUAUUGCAAGUUAAGUUUCAAUCAUUCCUAUCACCCACACUCACACUAUACACUAAUACAGGCAUAGGCAACCUUCAGCACUUCAGAUGUUUUGGACUACACCUCCCAUGAUGCUUUGUCAGCAUUAUGGGUGUAAGAGCAUUAUGGGGGAUGUAGACCACAACAUUUAGAGUGCCGAAGGUUGCCUAUCCCUGCACUAGUAUGUUAAAUGGAUUAAUUUAUUGCACAGCACUUGACAGUAAUACAGCGGCAAGUAAUCAACAGAUGAAAUAAUGCUGAUAUUGACACUAUUUUGAUAUGUACAUAUCUAGUGAUAACUUUCAGAAUGCACCCUGCUUUACUUUCAGCAAACAGUUUGGAAUAUCAGUUGCUAUAUAUACACUGUUUGUUCACUCAGCUCUAUACACAAAUAGUAUGAAGUUGUCCCUGCUCAUAUGAUACUGUUGUAUUAUUAGCUGAUUACAUAAUACCUUUGAGUACAACUCUAAGGUCAAAUGUAUAGAUAGGCAAAAAAUACGUUGUCAUAUGUGGGACCAUUUCAUCAACCCGUUAACCCCUUACAGUCCAUGCACCUAUUGCAGGGGUGGUUAUUCUACUAAUACUAAUAACUGGACACAUUUUUUCACAAAAGAUUUUUCUUCCAGUAGGUAAAAAAAGUUCCAAUCGCUGCAAGGAGAUCUAGAUUUUCCAGUAGGUAGAAUAUGUAUUUGGCACUUAUAAUCUGCUUCUAUAACACACCUAUAUACAAUUUUAGGCUAAAAUCCAUGAACUGAAACCAUAGGUGACUAGGAGAAUUUCUCCAAUUCAGCUAUUCAGCCUAUAAUUUUCAAUUUCUGGUCAUUCCAUGGCCUUUCACAUUUUAAUAAUAACACAGUCAUCAAAUGACUUUUCCCUGCUAAAUCCAGUUCAUUAUGAUGUGAGCCUUAUUACAGGAAUAUAUAUUUUAGUUUGGGAUGGGUUGAGGACCAUCUAAGAAUCAUGAGAUUAAAAUUGUUGGUUGAGUUACACACAAAUUUGCCCAGAGGCAGGAAUUCUCAUUUUCACCUACCUCUUGUUAAGAGCUAAAGGUUCCUUAUUUCACUUUACUGUUAAUUUUCUCUGGGAAGGAAGGUUCAUAACAAGUCGAAGAAAGGCUGUUCAUUGCAAUUUAUAAUCCAAUUUGCACGUAUUUCUAUGUAAUGAAGUUAUCUUCACUGCAGAACUGCAAGGCAUUCUCCUAAUUAUCUGCUAUACUAGGAAUUUGUUACUAAUUAUUCACUAAUUAGAAUGCGUACGCGCACAUACACAUAUACUAAGCACAGGGACACUAUCCAAUAUAAAUGAUAAUCAAAUCUGCUCCAGUUACUAAAUAAACACUUCUCUGCAGCUGUUCUGGAACUGCCAAACCCAGAAAGACAUAAGACAGGCAAAGAAUCAUGGGAGUUGUGUUUCCAGAACAACUGGAUGUAUAUAUUUUGGGCAACCUUAAUUUAAUCUCUUAAAGACCUGAAAUGGUCAACACAAUAACAAGGAUCUUAUCUCAGUCAGAUGACGAUUACAGGGUGGUAUUAUUAAUAUUACUAUUUAUAAAGUGCCAUGUUCUGCAGUGCUGUACAAUGGUACAGAGCUGUCGUUGAUCAAUAAACUGGCCAAUUCAUGCUGGCAUAAGGUAUUUAAGUAUCAAAUAUCAUGACAGCAAAAGUGCAAUAUUUGGUCAUUAAAGGGUAAAUGUUUGUCAGAUGUAAACUGUUUAUCAGACAUCCUUGGAAACUUAACUGUGAAUUAAUGCUCAUAGUUGUGAGAUCCAUGGAAAACUAUAUCCUUGAUGAAACACAGAUUACUUCCUGUAAUUUCAGACAUAAUUAUGCAGAGAGCAGUGUGCAUGGUGCGUGCUCAUCACUGCGUGUACAGAACUACUGUAAGCAGGGUUAUGAGCUGCUUGGAAUGCUGUCAUAUCCCAUGAGAACGGACUUGGACUUCCCUUGCACAGUUCUUGGACUUUGGUGACUCAUAAAGAAAAUGGUAUGUGUGUGACACGUUGUAAUGAACUGCCAUCAGGUACUUGAUAUUGUUCAUUAAUCGAGCAUCUGUAUAUUUUUAAUUCCAGGAAAUAAAAAGACAGAGGCACAAAAGUGACCUAAUGAAUUACUCAAAAGCUGAUUCAUCUCAAACAUGCAGCGAUGGAUGAAAUGUUCCCUUUUCUCCAUUUUAGUGAAUUCUCUAUCUGAAAGAGAUAAUGUUAACUCCUGCUUUAAAUGGAGCUUAUCGACAUAUUAAGAUUACAAAAUCGCACAAAACACACAUUUUUUUUCAUAAAGCUACAACAGGAACUGAG
This is a non-coding RNA of Pelobates cultripes (western spadefoot toad), 12027 nucleotides long. Lineage: Eukaryota; Metazoa; Chordata; Amphibia; Anura; Pelobatidae. The record is from the annotation of a GenBank genome assembly.